UAUUUCCGCCCUCUAUUGCCCGUUAUCUCCGCAAGAAAGGUACUCAGUUUCCCGGGUGGCGCUGCGGCACGGGUUCUUAAAUCUCGUUCUCCGCCUACCAGAGUUUGAAAUCAUAGGCGGCAGUGGUCUCUGAUUUAGAUUUGACGUGGUGAUGGUGCUAGAGUCCUUGAUUUCCGGAGUUCUUAACCAAGAUUCGGCUCAUUCUACCCUCACUUGAUACACACCGGUGUUUUGUUUUUUGUCUUUGUUUUGUUUUGUUUUCUUACUACUCUCCCAAGAACUCCUAGUUUCCUAGGUCUAGAUUCCCAGUAUUGCCGUGGUACUGUACCUGCAGCCCUAUCAUCCCAGUCCCACUUUGCUCUUUUCCAUCUAACACUGUGGCCUGUCCUGGGCUGUCCUGCGGGUAUCUCGCAGGAUGAGCAGGAGCCCUAACUGGUCUGAUCAGCUUCAUGCGGUUCUCAGUUCAACUGAUGAAAACAUGGCCCGGAUUAAGCAGAGUUUGUAUCCCCUUCGAGUUUCCUCUACAGGGAACCUGGCUGACACCUGGAUUUCCCCUCAUCACUUGCCUCCUCAGCCAGGGGCCCAAGCUCAACAGCCUUGGGCUCAAAAGACUCCCAUUCCUGGAGAGAGACUGAGCUGCACUGAAGGCCACAGCUCAUCUCUCUGGGAUGAAGUUACCAAACUCCGAUCCCAGCUUCAGUCUCAGGCUCAGGUGACUGAAGCUCUGAGGCAUGCUGUGCAGAGCCUGUUGAAGGAUCGGGAGCAGCAGAUGUUCAAGAUCGGUGCUCUGGAAGCCUCACUAAAACUGCUGCAGGAGGGCCCUAAAGGGAGAGCCCUCCUGGAGCAACGCCUGGAAGGGUUGAGAAAGGAACUGCAGGGCCUCAGGAGUCAGGUUCAAGAGCUAAUCCAAGCCCAGAUGAAAACAAGACCCGGAAAGUUCAGUACUACGAGUGGCUUUCACCAAAAGCUGCAGACUGAGCACCAGCUUUUGUGGGAAGAGUCAGAGAUUCUUCGGGAGGAACUGAAGUUGCUUCGAGACCAGCUGAGCCAACAUCAGGAGUUGCUACUGGAACAGAUGGCCGAGGGGCGCCAGGUUCAGGCCCGCAGCUGGAAGAUGUUGGAGCACCUACAGAAUGACCAGAAGGGCAAGGUUCAUACCUUGGAGGUUACCAGGACAGAGGCCCAUGAUGCCCGCAAGGAGGAGCCCUACCUCCUCAGGACCUCUGUUCAUGCCCAGCAAUCUAAGCUGCCUCUGGCCACCAUCUUCACCAUGUCUCUUUCUUCAUCUAGCUCUGAAGUCAGUCUUCCAGACUGUGACCGUAGCUGGGAACUUUUAAAGAAACUAGAUAGGGAACUCCAGAGCAGCUCCCUUUUUAACCUGGAAUCCAGCAGCCUUCAGUCCCAUGUCCAGAGUCUUAGGCAAGAGGACCUGUUCCUUCAGGGCCCCAGGAUCUUCCAGGGUGACCUAUAAGGACCCGUAAGGAAAUGAGAUGAAGCUCCUGUCCACAGCGGCUUUCUCAUGCCCUCUGGUACACCUCUGACUAGGAGCUCAAGUGACUUGGAAAGAAAUUUCUCUUGAUGAAUGGAAUGGAUUUGCAUGUUGGGCUGAAGCAGCAGUGAUGAGAUUGCAGAGAAGAGUGUGAUAUUCUGGUGGGCAGUAGAUCUCGGCAGUCAUACUGUUUCCUGAGGCUUACUCCAGCUUCUCCACCCCUCCUCAUCCUCCACAGCCCUGUUUGUAUGUUUACAGUAGGCUUCUCAGGUUCUCUGAAAUUCAGUUGUUUUUAAAACAAACCAACAAAAACAAAACCUUUAUUAUUUGUUUUGAGAAAGUGUCUCUGUAUGUAGCCCUGGCUGUCCUGGAACUUGCUAUGUAGACCAGGCUGGCCUUGAACUCACAGAAAUUCUCCUGCUUCUGCCUCCCCGUUCGUAGGAUUAAGGGUAUACACUGCUACACCCAGCCAAAAAGUAUUUUUUGCUGUAACCAUUGUGAGGAAAUAAAGA
Meriones unguiculatus (Mongolian gerbil) is the source of this 2001-nucleotide RNA transcript. It is a transcript of the gene named CCDC163 homolog, with no coding region annotated. The transcript has 11 exons. The record is from RefSeq and is a predicted model, not a curated record. NCBI's taxonomy places the organism in Eukaryota, Metazoa, Chordata, Mammalia, Rodentia, Muridae.